This 433-nucleotide ribosomal RNA is filed under the name uncultured bacterium. Its description in RNAcentral is "partial 16S ribosomal RNA". It matches the Rfam family "Bacterial small subunit ribosomal RNA", at positions 29 to 507 of the family's 1533-position model. The record is from RNAcentral.
AACGAACGCUGGCGGCAUGCCUAACACAUGCAAGUCGAACGAGACCUUCGGGUCUAGUGGCGCACGGGUGCGUAACGCGUGGGAACCUGCCCUUAGGUUCGGAAUAACUCCCCGAAAGGGGUGCUAAUACCGGAUAAUGUCUUCGGACCAAAGAUUUAUCGCCUUUGGAUGGGCCCGCGUUGGAUUAGCUAGUUGGUAGGGCAAAAGCCUACCAAGGCGACGAUCCAUAGCUGGUCUGAGAGGAUGAUCAGCCACACUGGGACUGAGACACGGCCCAGACUCCUACGGGAGGAAGCAGUGGGGAAUAUUGGAAAAGGGGCGAAAGCCUGAUCCAGCAAUGCCGCGUGAGUGAUGAAGGCCUUAGGGUUGUAAAGCUCUUUUACCCGGGAUGAUAAUGACAGUACCGGGAGAAUAAGCUCCGGCUAACUCCGUG